UGACUUAAAGUUUUUCCAGCAGCCCAUUAUCAUAAUAAACAAAAUCAAGAAUCAUAAGUAACCCAUGAGGCCCAUGUGUAGACAUAGGAAAUAACGAGAUGAGGAGUGGAGAAAACGCUUCGUUGACUUUGAGAAGGAGGCCAGUCUGAUCCGAGUUCAAUCCAUGGAGGAGAGCAGAGAAACCCGUUCAGAGGAGCCACUGCUGCAUCAUGAUUGAAGCUGAAGUUGGGUUCUGUCCACGCAAAGAGAGAAUCCUGUCUUUCACUUGGCGAUCAAUCUGGCGGAUGAGAGAGGAGGAUGAUCUGAAUGCAUUCCGAUGAAGCCUGAAGAGCACUUUCUGUUGUACUAUACUAAAAUCAGGACGAAACUACUCUUUUGUAUGGACGCAGUUGCUUGAACGUUAUUGUGAUGGACAUAAGUGGCUGGAUGUAUACGGAUAUAAUCAUUUGUGUGGACGUCGUAAUGUGUACGACCGGUGCUGGAUGCUUGGGUGUGAUUAGCCAAAGUGAGACAAAUCCUGUGUGUUUUGCGGCAAGAAUUCCAUAAUGUUAAUUUCAUCCUACAUUUACAUAAAAAUCUCCAUAAGGAGAGGAAAAACGUAAAGUAUAAGAAAGAUGCAGAUGAAGAUUUUGACAAAUGAGUGUUUUGUGGACUGUCUUGUGGACGGGUGUCUAGUGGAAGAAUGACUUGUGGACGGGUAGCUCGUGGAUGGUGUGUUGUGGAUGCAAUUUUUGUGUGAUUUUGGAUUUGACAUACCUUUGAUAGUGAAAGAGACGGUAUUGACGCGCUAAUUGUUGGUGAUUGAACAUAACCAAUAUGGACAUAAACAAAAAAAAAAGUAAAUUAUGAACAUAAACAGAAAUGAGAGAAAGUAAAGUAGAAAUUAAAAUAAUGAGUUAAGUGUAGUUAAUAAAUUUCAGGAUAAAAGAGGAAUUCAAUUUGAAAUAAGUGUCUCACAAAUUGUAUGUGUGUAUACACUUGUAAAAAGUGUGUCCUACUGUAAAUUUCUCUUCUUUUUUUCUAAUCAGGCUUUUUAUAAGGGAA
Raphanus sativus (radish) is the source of this 1044-nucleotide long non-coding RNA. RefSeq lists it as uncharacterized. The transcript is spliced from 2 exons. The record is from RefSeq and is a predicted model, not a curated record. NCBI's taxonomy places the organism in Eukaryota, Viridiplantae, Streptophyta, Magnoliopsida, Brassicales, Brassicaceae.